RNAcentral lists this long non-coding RNA (2129 nucleotides) under Homo sapiens (human). Its description in RNAcentral is "HSALNT0197124". The record is from RNAcentral. Lineage: Eukaryota; Metazoa; Chordata; Mammalia; Primates; Hominidae.
GGGAACACCUAGGGCAGGGCUUGGGGAGGCAAGAAAGAAACCGAGUCAUUCUGCCAGGCCUUGAGUAAUGAGGUCUUGAGGGACACACAGGCAUUUUCUAGCCUCGAAAGUCGAAGCACAACAUUCCGGGCAUGGCUGAGGACCUAAAUAGCAGAGUUGAUGUAUGUUUGGAGCCCCUCCAUGAGUCUUGCUUAAACUACAGUUGUAGGUGCGACCCAUCAUGGUUUCUGUAUGUGUUUUUCUAGCAAGACAAAUGCCGGGAACUGAUUGGCUUGUGUUUUAUCUCGCAUUGCCUUGGGAAAUGAGCCUACUGUGUGGUCUAAGAUACAGGAAAAGAAAUGAUGGGGAUCAAGGCCAUCAAGCUACAGAUGUUCCUACGAAUGGAACCCCAAAUGAGCUCAACUCACAACUUCUACCAAGAACCCCUGGACCAACCCACUGGCCCUUUGACUGGCCUAGAGAGUUCCCCUCUGGAGGACACUACAACUGCAGGGCCCCUUCUUCAUCCCUAUCCAGCAGAAAGUAGCUAGAGCAGUCAUCACCCAAUUCCCAACAGCAGUUGGGGUGUCCUGUUUAGAGGGGGGAUUGAGAGGUGAAGCCAGCUGGACUUCCUGGGUCAAGUGGGGGCUUGGAGAUCUUUUCUGUCUUAGAAGGAGAUUGUAAAAGUCACCAAUCAGUGCUCUGUAAAAAUGCACCAAUCAGUGCUCUGUAACUAGCAAGAGAAUUGAAAAAUGCACAAUCAGCGCUCUGUAAAAUGCACCAAACAUCAGGAUCCCAAAAGUAGCCAAUCUCAGGGAGGAUUGAAAAAAGGGCACUCUGACAGGACAAAAACAGAACAUAGGAGGGGACAAAUAAGGGAAUAAAAGCUGGCUACCCCAGCCAGCAGAGGCAACCUGCUUGCAUCCCCUUCCACACUGUGGAAGCUUUGUUCUUUCGCUCUUCACAAUAAACCUUGCUACUGCUCACUCUUUGGGCCCGUGCCACCUUUAAGAGCUGUAACACUCACUGCAAAGGUCUGCGGCUUCAUUCUUCAUUCACUGGAAGCAACCAACUUGGGACACACCACCAUGCCUGGUUAAUUUUUUGUAUUUUCAGUAGAGGUGGGGUUUCACUGUGUUAGCCAGGAUUGUCUUGAUCUCCUGACCUCAUGAUCUGCCUGCCUCUGCCUCCCAAAGUGCUGGGAUUACAGGCGUGAGCCGCUAUGCCCGGUGAACACAUACAUUUUCAACAGAAGAGCAAGAGAGCAUAGAACCCAGAAUAGCAGAGGCAUAUAGGCCCCGUUUUGCAGGAGUCAAAUAACUUAAUUCUUAGCACAAUCCUGUAAGAUGAAUUCUGUUAUAAUCCCACUCUCUAGAUAAAGAAUUCAAGGCACCAAGAGUUUAGUUCAUGAGCAGUAAGAGAUUUGGGCCCAAGUGGUUUUGUGUCAAAGCUUAUGCUUGGCAUAAUUUUUUGAUAGAGAGCCAGAUGGUAAAUAUUUUGGAAUAUUAGUGUUCAAAUAGUCUGUGUCACAACUAGUGCCUCUGCUGUUGUAACAUAAAAGCAGCCAUAGCCAAUGUAUAAAAGAAUAGCUGUCAACUUAAAUGCCCAUCAAUGAUAGAUUGGAUAAAGACGAUGUGGUACAUAUACACUAUGGCAUACUAUGCAGCCAUGAAAAACAAUGAGAUCAUAUCCUGUGCAGGAACAUGGAUGGAACUGGAGGUCCUUAUCCUUAGCAAACAAACACAAGAACAGAAAACCAAAUAUUGCAUGUUUUCACUUAUAAGCAGGAGCUAAAUGAUGAGAACACAUGGAUACAUAGAGGGGAACAGCACACACUUGGGCCUAUUGGAGGGUGGAGGGUGGGAGUGGGGAGAGGAUCAGGAAAAAUAACUAAUGGGUAGUAAGCUUAGUACCUGGGUGAUAAAAUAAUCUGUAUAACAAACCCCUAUGACACAUGUAUACCUAUGUAACAAAGUGGCACAUGUAACCCUGAACUUAAAAGUUAAGAAAAAAGAAUGGGUUAUGUAUGUGUUCUAAUAAAACUUUACUUGUAAAAACUGGUGAAGGCCAGAAUCUGGGUUGUCACAUGGGGCAGGAAGAGAUGAGGACUGAGGAAAAGAGGAAGAAGUCAAGACAGAGGAAUAAGGGAG